Molecule: ribosomal RNA, 693 nt
Filed under: uncultured Vibrionaceae bacterium
Lineage: Bacteria; Pseudomonadati; Pseudomonadota; Gammaproteobacteria; Vibrionales; Vibrionaceae
Description: bacterial SSU rRNA
Rfam family: Bacterial small subunit ribosomal RNA
Source: RNAcentral
GGGCCGCGGGAUUAGAGUUUGAUCAUGGCUCAGAUUGAACGCUGGCGGCAGGCCUAACACAUGCAAGUCGAGCGGUAACAUUUCGAAGCUUGCUUUGAAGAUGACGAGCGGCGGACGGGUGAGUAAUGGCUGGGAACCUGCCCUAACGAGGGGGAUAACUACUGGAAACGGUAGCUAAUACCGCAUAAUGUCCUUUCCUUAAAAAGAAGGGACCAAAGAAGGGGAUCUUCGGACCUUUCGCGUUAGGAUGGGCCCAGUUGGGAUUAGCUAGUUGGUGAGGUAAUGGCUCACCAAGGCAACGAUCCCUAGCUGGUUUGAGAGGAUGAUCAGCCACACUGGAACUGAGACACGGUCCAGACUCCUACGGGAGGCAGCAGUGGGGAAUAUUGCACAAUGGGCGCAAGCCUGAUGCAGCCAUGCCGCGUGUGUGAAGAAGGCCUUCGGGUUGUAAAGCACUUUCAGCAGUGAGGAAGGUUACGUAGUUAAUACCUGCGUGACUUGACGUUAGCUGCAGAAGAAGCACCGGCUAACUCCGUGCCAGCAGCCGCGGUAAUACGGGGGGUGCGAGCGUUAAUCGGAAUUACUGGGCGUAAAGCGCAUGCAGGCGGCUUGUUAAGCAAGAUGUGAAAGCCCCGGGCUUAACCUGGGAAUUGCAUUUUGAACUGGCAAGCUAGAGUCCUGUAGAGGGGGGUA